AGGCUGCAACUCUGAGGACCCAUCAGGCCUUCAAGAUAAUCUGGAAGGUGCCAACCUGAAAGGAGUGGCCAUGGAGGGCAGUCAGAUGACAGGAAUUAACCUCUGAGUUGCAACGCUGAGAAACGCCAAACUAAAGAACUGUAACCUCAGGGGAGCAACGUUGGCAGGAACUGAUUUGGAAGUUGUGACCUCCAGGAAGCCAAUUUGAGGGGCUCUGAUGUGAAAGGAGCCAUCUUUGAAGAGAUGCUGACCCCCCUGCACAUGUCCCAGAGCAUCAGAUAGGGAAGAGAAGACGUCAAAGAGGAAGAAAUCCAAACAUUUGUCGUGA
Chiroxiphia lanceolata (lance-tailed manakin) is the source of this 328-nucleotide long non-coding RNA. RefSeq lists it as uncharacterized. The transcript has 3 exons. The record is from RefSeq and is a predicted model, not a curated record. NCBI's taxonomy places the organism in Eukaryota, Metazoa, Chordata, Aves, Passeriformes, Pipridae.